This 1582-nucleotide long non-coding RNA is filed under the name Rattus norvegicus (Norway rat). RNAcentral describes it as "long non-coding RNA NONRATT029793". The record is from RNAcentral. Lineage: Eukaryota; Metazoa; Chordata; Mammalia; Rodentia; Muridae.
GUGUGUCCCAGAUGCCUGUGGCUGAGGGCAAGAGUGUCCAGCAGACAGUGGAGCUCCUCACCAAGAAAUUGGAGAUGCUUGGAGCAGAGAAACAAGGAACAUUUUGUGUGGACUGUGAAACUUACCACACAGCUGCCUCCACCCUGGGCAGCCAAGGUGGAGUAUGGCCCUUGUGUGGUAGCUAGUGACUGCUGGAGCCUCCUGCUUGAAUUCCUACAGAGUUUUCUAGGUAGCCACACACCAGGGGCGCCCACAGUGUUUGGGAACAGACAUGAUGCGGUCUACGGGCCAGCAGAUACCAUGGUACAGUACAUGGAGCUCUUCAACAAGGUCCGGAAACAGCAGCAAGUGCCUGUGGCUGGGAUCCGCUAGUGACUGGCAGCUGCCGCCUGCUGAGCUGUCACCAUGGCACUGUCAAGGACCACGUGCUGGACUUGGGUCCCAGCUGUAGCUUGUGUUCCAGGGCUUUGGACUCCCCUCCUGACCACAUCACAGCUGUUCUUUACUUCAUGCUUUAACUGGAUUUGGCUGGUCCUCAAGAAUGGUAAUUGUGAAGAAUGGAAAGGCUUGGGCCUUUCCUCCUGUAGGCAAAAGGUAGGACAGGGUUGUGCCCACCAGUGCUAGAGCUGUGUGUCCCCAGGUGCUGAGCAUUUCGAAUAGGCUGUAUGCCUGUGCUGCUUUCGCUUGAGGAUGUGGCUGGCAGGACGGGAUUGUUGGCUGCGAGAGUGUUGCUUUCAUUCUUUGGACACUGAUGUCUUCCCCUACUGUUUUGAAUUAUGUGAACCUGCAGGCCAAGUUGCUGUAGCAGAACCAAAAGCAGAGGGCUCUUACUGCACAGCUUAUUUUUCGUUAAUAGUUCAGAGGCAUUCAGUUCCACAGAACAGAAUGAACUCCACAGGGUUACCAGGAACUUGGCUUCUUAUGUCUUACUGUUCCUUCUAUCAUACUGUCCCCAGAAUGCUUUCCUCACCACAGGAUCAAAGCACGCUCAGUAUCUCCGUGCCCACAGUCUGCUGAGGAAAGAGAUAGGGAUGUUUUUCAAAGUUGAUUAGAUCACUGUGGACACACAUUCCUGACACUCAACACUCAGUUUUCUCAGGGGGCUUCCUAGUUUGCCGUCUUGGCUGGCUUGAGCCUUGAACUCACUGACAUUGCUCACCUGCCUCACACCUGUUACAGAAACAUUUAACACGUAGACAGGCUUGGGAAAGCUGUUCAUAUACAAAGUGUAGGGUGGCAGUGUUUGUGCAGCAGCUCUGAGGAGGUGGGUCAUUCUUGUGUCCUAGCUUUGGUGGGCAGGACAGCUCAUCACACCUUCCUGGUUAUCCUGUUACUUCCUCUUGCUUUUGUUGUUACUCUUUUAUUGUUGCUGUGUAAAAACUGAGGUGUUUUAGAUACCACAAUAAAAUUGACAAACACUACAGUUUCGGCCUUCUGUUCUGUGUUUGGUCUUGUUGCAGGCUGUCUACUUUGUACUUUGUACUGGUCGCUUGAAAACACAGAUGUUAAGUGUGGUAAAUAUGGACUCUCAGUUCCUACAUAAGAAGGGAUCAGUUUCUAAAAAAUAAAGAGAAGCACAAAC